AUGGCGGCGCGACGAAGCAGCCCACGCCGUCGCCUCCCUGCCGCUUCCCUCCCUCUAAACUUGCUCCGCCACCCGCCGCUCGGCGCCUUCCGCCCGUUGGCCUCCUCCUCCGUGGAUCUCGGCUGGUUGAUCCUGCCCGUGGGCGCGUGGCUGGACCGCCCGACAUCUCAACUCCGGCACCAACCGGCUCUGCUCUGGCUCUUCCGCCAUCCUGCUCGCCUGCCUGAGACUGGCUCUUGCCUGCCUCCCGUGCGACCUACUACCUCCACAACAACAAAAAGGUACAAAAAGGAAAUUACUCACCAUACAAAUGAGAAAUGUAUGGCUUUGUUCACAAACUGUGCCUGA
This 348-nucleotide ribosomal RNA is filed under the name Triticum aestivum (bread wheat). RNAcentral describes it as "partial small subunit ribosomal RNA". Lineage: Eukaryota; Viridiplantae; Streptophyta; Magnoliopsida; Poales; Poaceae. The record is from RNAcentral.